GAUAGAGGCCUACCAUGGUGGUAACGGGUAACGGGGUGUUAGGGCACGACACCGGAGAGGGAGCCUGAGAAACGGCUACCACAUCCAAGGAUGGCAGCAGGCGCGCAAAUUACCCAAUCCCGACACGGGGAGGUAGUGACAAUAAAUAACAAUACGGGGUUCUUAUGGAUCUCGUAAUUGGAAUGAGUACAAUUUAAAUCUCUUAACGAGGAACAAUUGGAGGGCAAGUCUGGUGCCAGCAGCCGCGGUAAUUCCAGCUCCAAUAGCGUAUAUUAAAGUUGUUGCAGUUAAAAAGCUCGUAGUUGAAUUUCGGGGUCAGUAGGUUGGUCAUGCCACUGGUAUGUACUGGUCUCACUGAUUCCUCCUUCCUGAUGAGCUGUAAUGCCAUUAAUUUGGUGUUGCGGGGAAUCUGGACUGUUACUUUGAAAAAAUUAGAGUGCUUAAAGCAGGUUAUCGCCUGAAUACAUUAGCAUGGAAUAAUGAAAUAGGACGGCAUGGUUCUAUUUUGUUGGUUUCUAGGAUCACCGUAAUGAUUAAUAGGGAUAGUUGGGGGCAUUAGUAUUCAAUUGUCAGAGGUGAAAUUCUUGGAUUUAUUGAAGACUAACUUCUGCGAAAGCAUUUGCCAAGGAUGUUUUCAUUAAUCAAGAACGAAAGUUAGGGGAUCGAAGACGAUCAGAUACCGUCGUAGUCUUAACCAUAAACUAUGCCGACUAGGGAUCGGACGAUGUUAAUUUUUUAAUGACUCGUUC
Molecule: ribosomal RNA, 749 nt
Filed under: uncultured Glomus
Lineage: Eukaryota; Fungi; Glomeromycota; Glomeromycetes; Glomerales; Glomeraceae
Description: SSU rRNA
Rfam family: Eukaryotic small subunit ribosomal RNA
Source: RNAcentral